ACGGCAGCGCGAGAGAGCUUGCUCUCUUGGCGGCGAGUGGCGGACGGCUGAGUAAUAUAUCGGAACGUGCCCAGUAGCGGGGGAUAACUACUCGAAAGAGUGGCUAAUACCGCAUACGCCCUACGGGGGAAAGGGGGGGAUCGCAAGACCUCUCACUAUUGGAGCGGCCGAUAUCGGAUUAGCUAGUUGGUGGGGUAAAGGCUCACCAAGGCAACGAUCCGUAGCUGGUUUGAGAGGACGACCAGCCACACUGGGACUGAGACACGGCCCAGACUCCUACGGGAGGCAGCAGUGGGGAAUUUUGGACAAUGGGGGAAACCCUGAUCCAGCCAUCCCGCGUGUAUGAUGAAGGCCUUCGGGUUGUAAAGUACUUUUGGCAGAGAAGAAAAGGUAUCCCCUAAUACGGGAUACUGCUGACGGUAUCUGCAGAAUAAGCACCGGCUAACUACGUGCCAGCAGCCGCGGUAAUACUUAGGGUGCAAGCGUUGUUCGGAGUUACUGGGGGUAUACCGUGUGUAGGCGGUUCGGAAAGAAAGAUGUGAAAUCCCAGGGCUCAACCUUGGAACUGCGUUUUUAACUGCCGAGCUAGAGUAUGUCGGAGGGGGGUAGAAUUCCACGUGUAGCAGUGAAAUGCGUAGAUAUGUGGAGGAAGAACGAUG
This 659-nucleotide ribosomal RNA is filed under the name Alcaligenes faecalis. RNAcentral describes it as "bacterial SSU rRNA". It matches the Rfam family "Bacterial small subunit ribosomal RNA", at positions 66 to 714 of the family's 1533-position model. Lineage: Bacteria; Pseudomonadati; Pseudomonadota; Betaproteobacteria; Burkholderiales; Alcaligenaceae. The record is from RNAcentral.